Long non-coding RNA from Apis cerana (Asiatic honeybee), 710 nucleotides. RefSeq lists it as uncharacterized. The record is from RefSeq and is a predicted model, not a curated record. Lineage: Eukaryota; Metazoa; Arthropoda; Insecta; Hymenoptera; Apidae.
GUUCUAAUUCUGCAAGUCAUCGCGUUACGCGACAUAUCCUAGGUUGAAAAGUUUACGAAAACUAAUUUUAUCCAUAUUUAAUCAAUAAAGAAAGUUUGGAUUAUAACUUAUUCAACUUCCAGUCAUCUUUCGCAUUCUUUAAAAUCCAUUCGCCGACUGACGACAUAGCGUCUCCGGUGCACAAUUCAAACGAAACCAUUUGCAUUGCACGCACGUAGGGAACGCAGGUGCGUACGCAGAAACACGCGCGUGUAUCCAAGCUACCGUGUUCCACUAGCUUGUACAACAUUAGAGAGCGAAGUCCCACGAUCUGUGCGAUCCGCACGAUGCAUUCCGCGUGACGCGUGCUUCUUCGAAAACAACAAUCCGUUAACCGGAAACGCGCGAUGAUGCUCGGGAUACUUACGCAAGUUUCGAGUAUCGACUGGCAUCGUGUACACCGGAGAAUUUGUAAUGCGUCGACCGUAAGAGGAUUCACAGCGUUCUGAAUCCCAUGUUAAUAGGAAUCGGGAGUUCCUCCGUUUCGCGUAGUUGUCGCUAAUUUGUACCGUUCGAUUAUCGAUUUCAAUCGGAUUUCGAGCUUAUUGCCUGUUGAUCAACAUUUUUAAAUUUUCGUUAAGAAUGAAACAUAGGAUUAACGUGUCGUAAUUUUGUAAAAAAAGAAAAAAUCAUGAGUUGAAAUAAUAAUUAAAAAAAAAAAAAAAGGAAAA